CCUACGGGGUGCAGCAGUGGGGAAUAUUGAACAAUGGGCGAAAGCCUGAUCCAGCCAUGCCGCGUGUGUGAAGAAGGCCUUCGGGUUGUAAAGCACUUUCAGUGGGGAAGAAAGCCUUGGGGCUAAUACCCUCGAGGAAGGACAUCACCCACAGAAGAAGCACCGGCUAACUCCGUGCCAGCAGCCGCGGUAAUACGGAGGGUGCGAGCGUUAAUCGGAAUUACUGGGCGUAAAGCGCGCGUAGGCGGUCUGAUAAGCCGGUUGUGAAAGCCCCGGGCUCAACCUGGGAACGGCAUCCGGAACUGUCAGGCUAGAGUGCAGGAGAGGAAGGUAGAAUUCCCGGUGUAGCGGUGAAAUGCGUAGAGAUCGGGAGGAAUACCAGUGGCGAAGGCGGCCUUCUGGACUGACACUGACGCUGAGGUGCGAAAGCGUGGGUAGCAAACAGGAUUAGAUACCCUAGUAGUC
This 465-nucleotide ribosomal RNA is filed under the name Vreelandella stevensii. RNAcentral's name for it is "partial 16S ribosomal RNA". It matches the Rfam family "Bacterial small subunit ribosomal RNA", at positions 338 to 795 of the family's 1533-position model. Lineage: Bacteria; Pseudomonadati; Pseudomonadota; Gammaproteobacteria; Oceanospirillales; Halomonadaceae. The record is from RNAcentral.